RNAcentral lists this ribosomal RNA (497 nucleotides) under uncultured bacterium. RNAcentral's name for it is "partial 16S ribosomal RNA". It matches the Rfam family "Bacterial small subunit ribosomal RNA", at positions 28 to 507 of the family's 1533-position model. The record is from RNAcentral.
GAUGAACGCUGGCGGCGUGCCUAAUACAUGCAAGUCGAGCGAACGGACGAGGAGCUUGCUGCUCUGAUGUUAGCGGCGGACGGGUGAGUAACACGUGGAUAACCUACCUAUAAGACUGGGAUAACUUCGGGAAACCGGAGCUAAUACCGGAUAAUAUUUUGAAUCGCAUGGUUCAAAAGUGAACUACGGUGUUGCUGUCACUUAUAGAUGGAUCCCCGCUGCAUUAGCUAGUUGGUAAGGUAACGGCUUACCAAGGCAACGAUGCAUAGCCGACCUAAGAUGGUGAUCGGCCACAUUGGAACUGAGCCUGGGUCCUGAGUCCUACGGGAGGAAGCAGUAGGGAAUCUACCGCAACGGGCGAAAGCCGGACGGAGCAACGGCGCGUGAGUGAUGAAGGUAUUAGGAUCGUAAAACUGUGUUAUUAGGGAAGAACAGAUGUGUUAGUAACUGUGAACAUCUUGACGGUACCUAAUGAGAAAGGCACGGCUAACUACGUG